AGGUGCUUAUUUAGCAAAUUCAACCUUAAACCUGAGUGCAUGGAAACUAUUGAUGCAGUGUCCAAGGUGGAGAAAGGUCAGAGUGGAUCCAGAGGAGCCAAGAGAAGACGUCCAGCAUGGUGACCUGGGCUCAAGUCAAGGUCCUUAUUUCUCUGAGGCCAUAAUGGUUAAGUAAUUUCCCAAUGUCACUUCACACUCAAGUGGAAGAGCAAGGUGGCCAACCCAAAGCCCACGUUUCUUCUCCUAUAGAAGUCUUCCUCGUGGCUGACUGCUUGAAAAUUUAGCCAGGUGUUAAAGGAUCAAGACUGGAAGUGACUGGUGAACCAUUUGCAGUGGUUCCAAAGGAGCCCUGCAAUGGAAAAGAAAGGAGAGAGAGAAACUCCAUGUGUGGAAGCUUGAUCUCCUUUGAAAAGAGCUCAGCUUAAAGGAUGAUAUCAUGGGGACUGUCAACAGGAAUCAGAGAUGCAUAUCCAAGGGCAGAAUCUAAUUUCAAUUCCAGGACGUUUCAUGAAACAGAAUGCAAAGCAACAAUUAUCUGCUAAAUGGAAAAUUAAAGGCAUAAAUAAAGUCAAAGCUCAAACCA
Homo sapiens (human) is the source of this 583-nucleotide long non-coding RNA. Ensembl annotates it as prostate cancer associated transcript 1. Its record names the gene PCAT1. Lineage: Eukaryota; Metazoa; Chordata; Mammalia; Primates; Hominidae. The record is from Ensembl.